CUACGUGCCAGCAGCCGCGGUAAUACGGAGGGUGCGAGCGUUAAUCGGAAUAACUGGGCGUAAAGGGCACGCAGGCGGUUAUUUAAGUGAGGUGUGGAAGCCCCGGGCUUAACCUGGGAAUUGCAUUUCAGACUGGGUAACUAGAGUACUUUAGGGAGGGGUAGAAUUCCACGUGUAGCGGUGAAAUGCGUAGAGAUGUGGAGGAAUACCGAAGGCGAAGGCGGCUUGCUAGCCAAAGACUGACGCUCAUGCACGAAAGCGUGGGGAGCAAAUAGGAUUAGAUACCCUAGUAGUCCACGCCGUAAACGAUGAAUACUAAGUAUUGGGGAAACUCAGUGCUGCAGCUAACGCAAUAAGUAUUCCGCCUGUGGAGUAUGCACGCAAGUGUGAAACAUAAAGGAAUUGACGGGGGCCCGCACAAGCGGUGGAGUAUGUGGUUUAAUUCGACGCAACGCGAAGAACCUUACCAGGCCUUGACAUCCCUUGCAAAGCUGUAGAGAUA
RNAcentral lists this ribosomal RNA (502 nucleotides) under uncultured bacterium. Its description in RNAcentral is "bacterial SSU rRNA". It matches the Rfam family "Bacterial small subunit ribosomal RNA", at positions 501 to 1008 of the family's 1533-position model. The record is from RNAcentral.